GGCCCGAGUUGUAAUUUGCAGAGGAUGCUUUUGGCGAGGUGCCUUCCGAGUUCCCUGGAACGGGACGCCAUAGAGGGUGAGAGCCCCGUCUGGUUGGAUACCGAGCCUCUGUAAAGCUCCUUCGACGAGUCGAGUAGUUUGGGAAUGCUGCUCUAAAUGGGAGGUAUAUGUCUUCUAAAGCUAAAUACCGGCCAGAGACCGAUAGCGCACAAGUAGAGUGAUCGAAAGAUGAAAAGCACUUUGAAAAGAGGGUUAAACAGUACGUGAAAUUGUUGAAAGGGAAGCGUUUAUGACCAGACUUGGACCCGGUGAAUCAUCCAGCGUUCUCGCUGGUGCACUUUGCCGGGCUCAGGCCAGCAUCAGUUUGUCCCGGGGGAUAAAGGCUUAGGGAAUGUGGCUCCUCCGGGAGUGUUAUAGCCCUCUGCAUAAUACCCUGGGGCGGACUGAGGUUCGCGCAUCUGCAAGGAUGCUGGCGUAAUGGUCAUCAACGACCCGUCUUGAAACACGGACCAAGGAGUCGUCUUCGUAUGCGAGUGUUCGGGUGUCAAACCCCUACGCGUAAUGAAAGUGAACGCAGGUGAGAGCUUCGGCGCAUCAUCGACCGAUCCUGAUGUUCUCGGAUGGAUUUGAGUAAGAGCAUACGGGGCCGGACCCGAAAGAAGGUGA
The sequence is a ribosomal RNA, 666 nucleotides long. It matches the Rfam family "Eukaryotic large subunit ribosomal RNA", at positions 135 to 829 of the family's 3401-position model.